This 270-nucleotide ribosomal RNA is filed under the name uncultured archaeon. RNAcentral's name for it is "partial 16S ribosomal RNA". It matches the Rfam family "Archaeal small subunit ribosomal RNA", at positions 477 to 747 of the family's 1478-position model. The record is from RNAcentral.
CAGCAGCUCAAGUGGUGAUCCUUAUUAUUGGGCCUAAAGCGUCCGUAGCCUGUCUGGUAAAUCCUUGGGUAAAUCGUACCGCUUAACGGUACGACCUCUGGGGAGACUGCUAGACUUGGGACUGGGAGAGGUCGGAGGUACUCCAGGGGUAGGGGUGAAAUCCUGUAAUCCCUGGGGGACCACCAGUGGCGAAGGCGUCUGACUAGAACGGAUCCGACGGUAAGGGACGAAACCCUGGGGCGCGAACCGGAUUAGAUACCCGAGUAGUCC